GGCAGCGCGGGUAGCAAUACCUGGCGGCGACCGGCAAACGGGUGCGGAACACGUACGCAACCUUCCUUUAAGCGGUGAAUAGCCCAGGGAAACUUGGAUUAAUACACCAUAAGACAGUGGAGUGGCAUCACUCAGCUGUUAAAGCUCCGGCACUUAAAGAUGGGCGUGCGGCUGAUUAGGUAGUUGGCGGGGUAACGGCCCACCAAGCCGACGAUCAGUAACUGGUGUGAGAGCACGACCAGUCACACGGGCACUGAGACACGGGCCCGACUCCUACGGGAGGCAGCAGUAAGGAAUAUUGGUCAAUGGACGCAAGUCUGAACCAGCCAUGCCGCGUGGAGGAUGAAGGCCCUCUGGGUUGUAAACUUCUUUUAUCUGGGAAGAAACCGGACUUUUCUAAGGCCGUUGACGGUACCAGAUGAAUAAG
Molecule: ribosomal RNA, 427 nt
Filed under: uncultured Niastella sp.
Lineage: Bacteria; Pseudomonadati; Bacteroidota; Chitinophagia; Chitinophagales; Chitinophagaceae
Description: bacterial SSU rRNA
Rfam family: Bacterial small subunit ribosomal RNA
Source: RNAcentral